Molecule: transfer RNA, 75 nt
Filed under: Salmonella enterica
Lineage: Bacteria; Pseudomonadati; Pseudomonadota; Gammaproteobacteria; Enterobacterales; Enterobacteriaceae
Description: tRNA-Gln
Rfam family: tRNA
About the family: Transfer RNA (tRNA) molecules are approximately 80 nucleotides in length.
Source: RNAcentral
UGGGGUAUCGCCAAGCGGUAAGGCACCGGUUUUUGAUACCGUCAUUCCUUGGUUCGAAUCCAGGUACCCCAGCCA